This 73-nucleotide transfer RNA is filed under the name Capra hircus (goat). It matches the Rfam family "tRNA". From Rfam's summary of the family: Transfer RNA (tRNA) molecules are approximately 80 nucleotides in length. Their secondary structure includes four short double-helical elements and three loops (D, anti-codon, and T loops). The record is from Rfam by way of RNAcentral. Lineage: Eukaryota; Metazoa; Chordata; Mammalia; Artiodactyla; Bovidae. RNAcentral also lists the same sequence under 1 other name.
UCUCUGGCAGUCCAGUAGUUAGAACUCUGCACUCCCAAUGCAGGCAACACAGGUUUGAUCCCUGAUCAGGGAA